GCGGAUGGCCGGAUGACCGCGUGGGACAGGGUGCCUGCACCUUGAAGCGCGAGGAAAGUCCGGACUCCACAAGGCAACGGUGCCGGGUAACGCCCGGCCGGGGAAACCCGAGGGAAAGCGCCACAGAGAACAGACGGCCGGCGCUUGUCGCAGGUCACGGUGAAACGGUGGGGUAAGAGCCCACCGCGCGUCUGGCAACAGAGGCGGCACGGCAAGCCCCACCGGGAGCAAUGCCAAAUAGGGACCUUGCGGGGGCAACCCCAGGGCUGUCUUGGCCCAAAGGUCCGGGUUGGCAGCUAGAGGUGUCUGGCAACAGGCAUCGUAGAGGAAUGGUCAUCCAGGGUGGCAACACCUGGACAGAAUCCGGCUUACAGGCCAUCCGCGCAU
This 387-nucleotide RNase P RNA is filed under the name Aliiroseovarius sp. M344. RNAcentral describes it as "RNase P RNA component class A". It matches the Rfam family "Bacterial RNase P class A". From Rfam's summary of the family: Ribonuclease P (RNase P) is a ubiquitous endoribonuclease, found in archaea, bacteria and eukarya as well as chloroplasts and mitochondria. Lineage: Bacteria; Pseudomonadati; Pseudomonadota; Alphaproteobacteria; Rhodobacterales; Paracoccaceae. The record is from RNAcentral.